GAUGAACGCUGGCGGCGUGCCUAAUACAUGCGAGUCGAACGCUAAAGGAGGAGCUUGCUCUUCUGGAUGAGUUGCGAACGGGUGAGUAACGCGUAGGUAACCUGCCUGGUAGCGGGGGAUAACUAUUGGAAACGAUAGCUAAUACCGCAUGACAACAGUUAUUGCAUGAUAACUGUUUAAAAGUGGCAACUGCUCCACUACCAGAUGGACCUGCGUUGUAUUAGCAAGUUGGUGAGGUAACGGCUCACCAAGGCGACGAUACAGAGCCGACCUGAGAGGGGGGGCAGCCAGCCUGGGAGGGUGACACGCCACAUAGGGCUAGGGGAGGGGGCAGGAGGGAAACGGGGGGAAGGGGCGGAAGACAGAGCGAGAAACGCGGAGGGAGGAAAGAAGGAUGUCGGGUCGGAAAGGUCGGUUGUAAGGGAAGAAAGAGUGUGAGCGUGGAAAGUUCACAGUGUGACGGUAACUGAUCAGAAAGGGACGGCUAACUACGUG
Molecule: ribosomal RNA, 495 nt
Filed under: uncultured bacterium
Lineage: Bacteria
Description: partial 16S ribosomal RNA
Rfam family: Bacterial small subunit ribosomal RNA
Source: RNAcentral